This 416-nucleotide long non-coding RNA is filed under the name Rattus norvegicus (Norway rat). RNAcentral describes it as "long non-coding RNA NONRATT026807". The record is from RNAcentral. Lineage: Eukaryota; Metazoa; Chordata; Mammalia; Rodentia; Muridae.
GGGAACCUGCUUGGUUUAGCUUGAAUCAAGAUUAAUGUUUAUCAGUGAUAAAAACGUUAAAGAGCUACACAGCAGGCAGGCAGAAGGACCCUACAUCCAGCCUCCACUGCCAAUUAGUUCAGAAUAUCCUAGCGCAUAAGGCAAAAUACCAGGGACUGGGGGUCCUCAUCGGUAUUUUUUGCUUUGUCUGGGUUGGAGAGAUCGCUCAAGCAUUUGAAAUCGCUGGAAACUCUCGUGACAGAACCCAAGUUCAAUUCCCAGUACCUUUAUGGCAGCUCAGAGCAGUCUGCAACUCCAGUUCUAGGGGAUCUUUCUGGCUUCCCCUGGCAAAAGGCACGCUCUUUGUGCACAGACAUCCCUGCAAGCAAAACACCCACACACAUAAAAUAAAAGAAGCAUAUUUUAAGAACUUGAAA